This 287-nucleotide unclassified non-coding RNA is filed under the name uncultured Auriculariales. RNAcentral's name for it is "sequence contains 5.8S rRNA gene, ITS2, 28S rRNA gene". Lineage: Eukaryota; Fungi; Basidiomycota; Agaricomycetes; Auriculariales. The record is from RNAcentral.
AACGCACCUUGCGCUCCUUGGUAUUCCAUGGAGCAUGCCUGUUUGAGCGUCACGUUAACCCUCACCCAUGCGAUGUCAAAGUCACAUGCGGUGGACUUGGAUUGUGCCGUCAUUGGCUCAUCCUGAAAUGCAUUAGCUUGCGCCUUUUAGAGUGUGGGCACGGUGUGAUAAUUAUCUGCUCCGUCGCCACUGGCCUCUUCUGUGUGCGCCGCUUACAGUCGUCCCUAGCGGACAAUGUGUAUCAAAGCUUUGGCCUCAAAUCAGGUAGGACUACCCGCUGAACUUAA